This 314-nucleotide ribosomal RNA is filed under the name uncultured eukaryote. RNAcentral's name for it is "partial 18S ribosomal RNA". It matches the Rfam family "Eukaryotic small subunit ribosomal RNA", at positions 1470 to 1796 of the family's 1831-position model. The record is from RNAcentral.
CCCUUAGAUGUUCUGGGCUGCACGCGCGCUGCACUGACACUAUCAACGAGUGCUCCUGGUUUGAAAGGAUCGGGUAAUCUUUUGAAAUGGUGUCGUGAUGGGGAUAGAUCAUUGCAAUUAUUGAUCUUGAACGAGGAAUUCCUAGUAAAUGUGAGUCAUCAGCUCACGUUGAUUACGUCCCUGCCCUUUGUACACACCGCCCGUCGCUCCUACCGAUUGAGUGAACCGAUGAGUAGUCCGGAUUGCGAUCGACCUCGGUUAAUCGCGAGAAGUUCCGCAAAUCACUUCACUUAGAGGAAGGAGAAGUCGUAACA